UACGUAGGGUGCAAGCGUUGUCCGGAAUUAUUGGGCGUAAAGAGCUCGUAGGCGGUUUGUCGCGUCUGCUGUGAAAACUGGAGGCUCAACCUCCAGCCUGCAGUGGGUACGGGCAGACUAGAGUGCGGUAGGGGAGAUUGGAAUUCCUGGUGUAGCGGUGGAAUGCGCAGAUAUCAGGAGGAACACCGAUGGCGAAGGCAGAUCUCUGGGCCGUAACUGACGCUGAGGAGCGAAAGCAUGGGGAGCGAACAGGG
RNAcentral lists this ribosomal RNA (254 nucleotides) under uncultured bacterium. RNAcentral describes it as "partial 16S ribosomal RNA". It matches the Rfam family "Bacterial small subunit ribosomal RNA", at positions 524 to 777 of the family's 1533-position model. The record is from RNAcentral.